AGUGAACGCUGGCGGUAGGCCUAACACAUGCAAGUCGAACGGCAGCACAGUAAGAGCUUGCUCUUACGGGUGGCGAGUGGCGGACGGGUGAGGAAUACAUCGGAAUCUACUUUUUCGUGGGGGAUAACGUAGGGAAACUUACGCUAAUACCACAUACUACCUACGGGUGAAAUCAGGAGAUCUUCGGACCUUGCGCGAAUCAUUGAGUCGAUGUCGGAUUAGCUAGUUGGCGGGGUAAAGGCCCACCAAGUCGACGAUCCGUAGCUGGUCUGAGAGGAUGAUCAGCCACACUGGAACGGAGACACGGUCCAGACUCCUACGGGAGGCAGCAGUGGGGAAUAUUGUACAAUGGGCGCAAGCCUGAUCCAGCCAUACCGCGUGGGUGAAGAAGGCCUUCGGGUUGUAAAGCCCUUUUGUUGGGAAAGAAAAGCAGCAGGUUAAUACCCCGCUGUUCUGACGGUACCCAAAGAAUAAGCACCGGCUAACUUCGUG
This 492-nucleotide ribosomal RNA is filed under the name uncultured bacterium. Its description in RNAcentral is "partial 16S ribosomal RNA". It matches the Rfam family "Bacterial small subunit ribosomal RNA", at positions 29 to 507 of the family's 1533-position model. The record is from RNAcentral.